Molecule: ribosomal RNA, 140 nt
Filed under: uncultured eukaryote
Lineage: Eukaryota
Description: partial small subunit ribosomal RNA
Rfam family: Eukaryotic small subunit ribosomal RNA
Source: RNAcentral
AGUUCGUGGAGUAAUCUGUCUGGUUAAUUCCGUUAACGAACGAGACCUUACCUUGCUAAUUAGGAUGCAUAUUGAAUAUGUUAUUCUACUUAGAAGGACCAUGAAUACAUAAUUCAAGGAAGCAUGAGGCAAUAACAGGU